GUGCACCAGUCGCGAAAACUCCGCAAUACGCGAAAGUGCGACGAGGCUACUCCGAGUGCCAUCCGCUGAGGAUGGCUUUUGCCCGGUCUAAACCGCCUGGAGAAUAAGGGGAGGGCAAGUCUGGUGUCAGCCGCCGCGGUAAUACCAGCUCCUCGAGUGGUCGGGACGAUUAUUGGGCCUAAAGCAUCCGUAGCCGGUUCUGUAGGUCUCCUGUCAAAUUCAACGGCUCAACCGUUGAGCUGCAGGAGAGACCGCAGGGCUAGGAGGCGGGAGAGGUGGACGGUACUCCAUGGGUAUGGGUAAAAUCCUCUGAUCCAUGGAAGACCACCAGUGGCGAAGGCGGUCCACCAGAACGCGCUCGACGGUGAGGGAUGAAAGCUAGGGGAGCGAACCGGAUUAGAUACCCGGGUAGUCC
Molecule: ribosomal RNA, 415 nt
Filed under: uncultured crenarchaeote
Lineage: Archaea; Thermoproteati; Thermoproteota
Description: partial 16S ribosomal RNA
Rfam family: Archaeal small subunit ribosomal RNA
Source: RNAcentral